CCGAGUUUACAACUCCCAAACCCAAUGUGAACGUUACCAAACUGUUGCCUCGGCGGGAUCUCUGCCCCGGGUGCGUCGCAGCCCCGGACCAAGGCGCCCGCCGGAGGACCAACCUAAAACUCUUAUUGUAUACCCCCUCGCGGGUUUUUUUAUAAUCUGAGCCUUCUCGGCGCCUCUCGUAGGCGUUUCGAAAAUGAAUCAAAACUUUCAACAACGGAUCUCUUGGUUCUGGCAUCGAUGAAGAACGCAGCGAAAUGCGAUAAGUAAUGUGAAUUGCAGAAUUCAGUGAAUCAUCGAAUCUUUGAACGCACAUUGCGCCCGCCAGUAUUCUGGCGGGCAUGCCUGUCCGAGCGUCAUUUCAACCCUCGAACCCCUCCGGGGGGUCGGCGUUGGGGAUCGGCCCUCCCUUAGCGGGUGGCCGUCUCCGAAAUACAGUGGCGGUCUCGCCGCAGCCUCUCCUGCGCAGUAGUUUGCACACUCGCAUCGGGAGCGCGGCGCGUCCACAGCCGUUAAACACCCAACUUCUGAAAUGUUGACCUCGGAUCAGGUAGGAAUACCCGCUGAACUUAAGCAU
This 574-nucleotide ribosomal RNA is filed under the name Trichoderma harzianum. RNAcentral describes it as "eukaryotic LSU rRNA". The stretch from base 203 to 356 matches the Rfam family "5.8S ribosomal RNA". The record is from RNAcentral. Lineage: Eukaryota; Fungi; Ascomycota; Sordariomycetes; Hypocreales; Hypocreaceae.